Paramuricea clavata is the source of this 214-nucleotide non-coding RNA. Lineage: Eukaryota; Metazoa; Cnidaria; Anthozoa; Malacalcyonacea; Plexauridae. The record is from the annotation of a GenBank genome assembly.
GGAAAAUGGGAUUUCAUGCACUGGGACUGGGAUUCAUCAGCAAAAAAACAAUAGAAAAUGGGAAUGGGAUUAAGAUUUGAGCAGGACAGCCACCGAGAUGAUGGGAUUUGUGCUCUGGGACAAUGGGAUUCAGUCAAAAUUUGGGCUGGGAAAUGGGAAUACGACCCCCCCUUUCAGGACCCUCGGGGGAGGUAGUGAAAAACCAAGAAGUAGG